AGUGAGCGCUGGCGGUAGGCCUAACACAUGCAAGUCGAACGGCAGCACAGAGGAGCUUGCUCCUUGGGUGGCGAGUGGCGGCCGGGUGAGGAAUACAUCGGAAUCUACUCUGUCGUGGGGGAUAACGUAGGGAAACUUACGCUAAUACCGCAUACGACCUACGGGUGAAAGCAGGGGAUCUUCGGACCUUGCGCGAUUGAAUGAGCCGAUGUCGGAUUAGCUAGUUGGCGGGGUAAAGGCCCACCAAGGCGACGAUCCGUAGCUGGUCUGAGAGGAUGAUCAGCCACACUGGAACUGAGACACGGUCCAGACUCCUACGGGAGGCAGCAGUGGGGAAUAUUGGACAAUGGGCGCAAGCCUGAUCCAGCCAUACCGCGUGGGUGAAGAAGGCCUUCGGGUUGUAAAGCCCUUUUGUUGGGAAAGAAAUCCAGCCGGCUAAUACCUGGUUGGGAUGACGGUACCCAAAGAAUAAGCACCGGCUAACUUCGUG
RNAcentral lists this ribosomal RNA (490 nucleotides) under uncultured bacterium. RNAcentral's name for it is "partial 16S ribosomal RNA". It matches the Rfam family "Bacterial small subunit ribosomal RNA", at positions 29 to 507 of the family's 1533-position model. The record is from RNAcentral.